This is a long non-coding RNA of Odontomachus brunneus, 1490 nucleotides long. RefSeq lists it as uncharacterized. The transcript is spliced from 3 exons. NCBI's taxonomy places the organism in Eukaryota, Metazoa, Arthropoda, Insecta, Hymenoptera, Formicidae. The record is from RefSeq and is a predicted model, not a curated record.
UCGCGAUACGUUACUACAUCUCUUAAUCCUAAAGUUUUCAUCCAUCAGAAAAUUGAACAUGAUGUUUCCAUAUUCCAUAUUGCAAAAAAAUAUUCUUCCGUAAUAAAUAAUUAAUUAUAUCGUAACCGUAAACAUGUGUGACACUAAUAUUAUGGAAAUUAAAAGAGACAAUAACUGUUCGACUACUUGAUAAACACAUAGGCAAAAGAGAGGAUCGAAAUAUAACUUGAGCGACGUAAGGACGGGGAGUCCGUCCUAGACGCACAAUUUGUAUCAGCUGUUUCGAAAAUAUACGGUUUUUGUCAAAAUUGAAGCUAGAUUUUUCUGUGCAUACCAUCUUCUCACUACAAUUUAGAAGUGGGAUCCAUCCAGUGAGCAGCGGUUUGAUUGGUGAGAAAUCGGAUUGGACGGGCUUCGAAAUUUCGUUGGUUAGAAUAUUGCGUGUUGUUGUGUUGUGUCGUGUUUAGUACGAACAGAGACAGUGACCUUUGCGAAGAGAGAGGAAGAGAUAAGUACGCUUACGAUAUCAGACCUUAAGGAGAAGAAGCUACGUGAAUUUAACUUCGCGACGACAGGUAAUAAACUGGAGCUGGUUAACCAAUUAUUGGAGGCAGGUAUUUCGGUGAGAGAGUUGAAUCUGGUUAGGGAGGAGUCCCACGAGCAGCCUCGCGACAGUGGUGAUGCAGCGGAGUCGGAGUUGGCGAUGAGUGCCGGGAGAUGAGUCUGCUUCGUAGAGAGAAGGAGAUGGCUGAGCGAGACGCAGAACUGUUACACAGAGAAAUGGAGCUUUUACGAGCCUCUCCUAGGCCACCGGCGGAAUCUGCGGCGAGACGCGGGCGGCUAUAAGGCCAUUUUGCUUCAAAGAAAGGCGGAUCGAAAUUCAUUUUAUCAUAGUGACUGAUUGUCUACUUGAAUUACUGACAUGUACAUUAAAUAAAAAAGAAAUGAGCCCAAGGAUAGCUUGUUGGAUGUUAGAAUUACAACUGUACGAUUACGAGAUACAACAUCAUACAGGAUGUUACACGUGGAUGCGUUAACACUAGAAGGACCAAGUUUUAUGACUUUAGAUACAUAUUGUUGUGCCCACGUGCCCGCUUUAGCGAAGAUACAUCGAUUUCGAUGAUCCCGGUAUAGGGAGACAAGCGAGGGGGCAUGGUUGACAAUCAGCAGUAACAACAGCUGACGGAAAGUAAACAACAGCUGGAAGAGUGGACAGCGAGUCGUAGUCGCAAGCGGACGUGUUUUGAUUGUAUUGAUACUGAGUCUGUAAAGACUGUACAUAGUAAAGCUUCUCGUUCUUUUAUAAUUGUGUGUUCAUUUCCUUCGUGCCCGAUCGCAAGCGCAAGAAUAUGUAUAAAAAUAUUUAUAUAUCUAUUUAAAGUCAUAAAACUUGUUAAUAAAAUCGUAAAACAUAUGUGAAUGCAAUAUCAGAAAUAAGGAAGCCAAAUUGGCUCCAACGAUCCUUCUAGGUAGACGAUUAAAUAAAAAUU